This 274-nucleotide ribosomal RNA is filed under the name uncultured bacterium. RNAcentral's name for it is "partial 16S ribosomal RNA". It matches the Rfam family "Bacterial small subunit ribosomal RNA", at positions 523 to 796 of the family's 1533-position model. The record is from RNAcentral.
AUACGGAGGGUGCAAGCGUUAUCCGGAUUUAUUGGGUUUAAAGGGUCCGCAGGCGGACUAAUAAGUCAGUGGUGAAAUCUCUCGGCUCAACCGAGAAACUGCCAUUGAUACUGUUAGUCUAGAGUGUAGUUGGCGUAGGCGGAAUAUAUCAUGUAGCGGUGAAAUGCUUAGAUAUGAUAUAGAACACCGAUCGCGAAGGCAGCUUACGAAACUACAACUGACGCUCAGGGACGAAAGCGUGGGGAGCGAACAGGAUUAGAAACCCUAGUAGUCC